Molecule: ribosomal RNA, 265 nt
Filed under: uncultured bacterium
Lineage: Bacteria
Description: partial 16S ribosomal RNA
Rfam family: Bacterial small subunit ribosomal RNA
Source: RNAcentral
UGGCGACCGGCGCACGGGUGAGUAACACGUAUCCAACCUGCCCUUUACUCGGGGAUAGCCUUUCGAAAGAAAGAUUAAUACCCGAUAGCAUAAUGAUUCCGCAUGGUUUCAUUAUUAAAGGAUUCCGGUAAAGGAUGGGGAUGCGUUCCAUUAGGUUGUUGGUGAGGUAACGGCUCACCAAGCCUUCGAUGGAUAGGGGUUCUGAGAGGAAGGUCCCCCACAUUGGAACUGAGACACGGUCCAAACUCCUACGGGAGGCAGCAUG